Long non-coding RNA from Chenopodium quinoa (quinoa), 500 nucleotides. RefSeq lists it as uncharacterized. The record is from RefSeq and is a predicted model, not a curated record. The transcript has 2 exons. Lineage: Eukaryota; Viridiplantae; Streptophyta; Magnoliopsida; Caryophyllales; Amaranthaceae.
UCACUUCUCAAUUAUUUAUGCGUGUUGUUGUACCAUCCUUUUGCUCAAUCUCUCUCCUCUGCAUCUCUUUUUUUAUCACUUCAUCAACGACUUCUUCCUUUGCUAAUUUGUUUCCUCCAAAACUCAUUUCUCAUUCGCCUCCUAUUUAUGGCUUCAUCUCCUUAUUUUCCACCUUCAUCAACGACUUCUUCGAGCAUAUGCAUGCUCCUUGUAUUUUGAAAAGUCUCCACCUUCAAGAUCUCUCUUUGCUUAUCCUUCGACGACAGUUUCAAAGUGCUUUAGUGCAAUUAGAUCUAGAUUUAAUCAUUCAAGGUUAUGCUAUUGAUAAUCAUGGAAGGAAUACAGAGUACAAGAUACACUAUUAAUGUAUGGUUGUAUGGAGUAUAUACUUGUAAAUUAUUUAAUAAGCUACCAAUUGUAAAUUUUAGUAAUUAUUUUGUAAAUUUCAAUAAUUAAUCUAUGUUGGUUUGUUUAAUUAUAUAUUCAAAGUUUACAUUUUA